GAUGCAGAUUUGGAUUUUCUAUUUCAUAGUUAUUGAAAUCAUAAUGAGAAUGAAGUACUGCCACUAAGGUAAAGGUGCUAACUUGCAAGGAGCUGUUCUCAAAACAUUGGGUGACAAAGAAUUCACUUUUACAAAAAUCGAGCAGGAUAUUAAAGACAGCGAACUAUAGAACAAAUAUGGCGAAGCUGCAUGAAGUCUAUGUUGAAUUUUAU
Long non-coding RNA from Stegodyphus dumicola, 212 nucleotides. RefSeq lists it as uncharacterized. The record is from RefSeq and is a predicted model, not a curated record. Lineage: Eukaryota; Metazoa; Arthropoda; Arachnida; Araneae; Eresidae.